CCUCUCUCAGGAUUGCACCUGGAGAGUGUCCAGUACUAUACCAGUCUCGACUAUGGGAGGGAGAAUCAAGCAGAGGUUUGUCCAUUCCAUUCUUAGCUUGGGCAGUGGCUAGUGAGUGGAAGGCAAUCUGCUACAAGU
This is a small nucleolar RNA of Ornithorhynchus anatinus (platypus), 138 nucleotides long. The record is from RefSeq and is a predicted model, not a curated record. Lineage: Eukaryota; Metazoa; Chordata; Mammalia; Monotremata; Ornithorhynchidae.